CCUGCCAACCACAGCGGCGCGCGGAACCUUGACGGCCUCUACUCGGCCGCCUUCCCUGGCUUGACCCCGACGGCCACUGCUCGCCCGCCUCCCCUGGCUCGGCUCCGGCGACCUCGCCUGCCCCGGCCGGCGGCCGCCUGGCUCGGUCCUGCCGCCCUCGACGUCACCACACCUGUCCGCCCUUCUCCGCCGACCACACCACCUGGCCCUGCUCCGACGACCGAGCCAAGCCCUACUCCGUUGUCGAAUUCAACCACGCCGUAUAUAGAUUACUGUAAUGGGUAGACUAAGCAAGGCUUCCGAGCCGAAUAUUCGCGUACAAUCUUCUUUUGACACUGAUGAUUCCGGAGGCAAUUUUUUUCCCAAACUUUGCUGAAGAUGAUUCAUACCAUAUUUCCCAGGAUCUAUCGAUGGAUGAUGAUAAUUUUGUUAAAGCUUUGUACGAUUUCAAUGCGACCCAUAAAGUGAAAUGUCUGAAAUGGAAACAUCUGUUGGUGCUAGAAAUCUGGUAGUCUUUGUGUGUGCAGAAAGUUCAUCGGUUCUGUUUGCUUUUGAUGUAUCAUGUACCUGCACAUUGAGAUAGGGAAUGUUCAUUAGCCAGAUAUGUUGAAUGCGAAUUGAAAUGACAGUUUUGUUGAUUUAUA
Long non-coding RNA from Triticum dicoccoides, 644 nucleotides. RefSeq lists it as uncharacterized. The record is from RefSeq and is a predicted model, not a curated record. The transcript has 4 exons. NCBI's taxonomy places the organism in Eukaryota, Viridiplantae, Streptophyta, Magnoliopsida, Poales, Poaceae.